RNAcentral lists this ribosomal RNA (301 nucleotides) under uncultured bacterium. RNAcentral's name for it is "partial 16S ribosomal RNA". It matches the Rfam family "Bacterial small subunit ribosomal RNA", at positions 509 to 807 of the family's 1533-position model. The record is from RNAcentral.
CAGCCGCCACGGUAAAACGGAGGGUGCAAGCGUUAUCCGGAUUUAUUGGGUUUAAAGGGUCCGUAGGCGGACUUAUAAGUCAGUGGUGAAAGCCUGUCGCUUAACGAUAGAACUGCCAUUGAUACUGUAAGUCUUGAGUAUAUUUGAGGUAGCUGGAAUAAGUAGUGUAGCGGUGAAUUGCAUAGAUAUUACUUAGAACACCAAUUGCGAAGGCAGGUUACCAAGAUAUAACUGACGCUGAGGGACGAAAGCGUGGGUAGCGAACAGGAUUAGAUACCCCUGUAGUCCCUGUCUCUUAUAC